UUUAACAAAGAAUGGAAUGGUGUAGGUAAGCCUUGCCAGUCCCGGGUUCCUGUAUCAGAGCAAGCCCUUUAAAAUGAAGCAGAAACUCCGUUUCCGUCAGAGAGGCUUCCCACAGAAAAAGCUCAUUUUCACAGGUUUUAAUCCACUGGUAGAGACGCCGCUACUGCAGUUUGUUACAGAAGCCAACUCUCCUGCUUCCAAUCCCCCUCUAUUUGACUGGCAUUCCCACACCACCACCCAGCCCAGCAGGCGCUCUGUUCUCCAGCGGAGGAAACACUGGCUUGUAUUUGUUAACGGGGAGAAGAACCAUGGAUGAGCUCCACCUGCCAUGUGAAAUCUUUGAUUUUUAGAUGAAAAUGUACAGCUGACUGCUGGCAUAUUCACUGCAUCAGCUCUCCAAAGGUUGGCUUGCUGCUUAGAAUUCAUGGGGAGCAGCCCUGUCUGUCUUUGUAGGAAUUUUGGCUGCACGACUGAGUACAUGAAAAUCAGGGAAGCCAGAAGAAAAGAAUGAUCUGUUACCUGAGUUUCUUUUGCCAUUUGAAAUCCACUGAAAGAGAAGCAUCUUUGUAGCACAAGCUGUUGGCAACUCCUCUCUCCAGAGCACAUCAUCAGUCCCAAGCUUGCAGUCUUUUAUUCUUUUAAUUUUAAUUGGUAGCUCCUGCCUAGAAACCAGUUGGGAAUUGAAUUGCUUGUGCAUUCCCCAUGCUCCGGAGCAAUUGCCUAUAUAUUCCGUGUGCCUCCAAGCAGUUGCCAGCCUGCUCCUCGUGCUUCCUAGUAAAUGCCAGUAAUCUGUGCACUGGUAUGUAAAACUUACAGUACUUGAUUAUGUCAGGAGAGAGAACAGCACAAAAUACAGUGUGUGCUGCUAUUUUCACCUUAGCAUGUGUGCUGUUUUCCAGUCUUCAGCCACAGCACUGUGAGCAGCUCAGCUGGAGGAUGGACAAAGAAUCCUCAGCCCUGGAUUUGUACAAAUUUAUGGGUGGCCCAAGGGAUGCCCUGAAAUUCUUCUCUCUCCCAUCUUAUAUCUUGCCUGCCCAUCCUAUUCGUGUUGACAUAAAAGUAGCUUUGCACUGGCACCAGGAUUAAUGUCUCCAGAUGUUUAUUUGCUGCAUAUCCGCUGUUUCCUUGUGAAGCUGAAUAGUCUCAGCUUC
This is a long non-coding RNA of Phasianus colchicus (ring-necked pheasant), 1151 nucleotides long. RefSeq lists it as uncharacterized. NCBI's taxonomy places the organism in Eukaryota, Metazoa, Chordata, Aves, Galliformes, Phasianidae. The record is from RefSeq and is a predicted model, not a curated record.